Molecule: long non-coding RNA, 605 nt
Organism: Myzus persicae (green peach aphid)
Lineage: Eukaryota; Metazoa; Arthropoda; Insecta; Hemiptera; Aphididae
Exons: 2
Source: RefSeq, a predicted model, not a curated record
UUUUUUUUUUAUUGAAUAAAAGUGUAUUUACAAUCUAUACAUACAGUGUAUAAUAAGUAAGUGUGGCGACUUAAAGAAUAUUGUUAUUCUUACAAUUAACAAUAAUAACAAUUAAAAGAGAAGGAAGGCUGAGUGCCACCUGACAAGAAAUUACGGUUUGAACUUUAUUUUAAUUCAUUUUAUCAUAAUUAUUUUUUUUUUUUUGUUUUUGUUUUAUUUUUUUUUUUUUAUUGGGUAUUGAGCAGAUCUCUUGGCCAUUGUCUUUUUAACCUUCUAGGAAUAAUAGAGGCAGAGGAUACACUUUUAAUUAUGGGGUUUGAAUGAGCGCGGAGGGUUGAGUGGAAUUUUGAGUAAUAGGAUUUGGCUAAGUCGUGGAGGGUUGGUAUGUUCAGAUCUUUGUGGAGAUUUUUAUUGGUAACAUACCAAGGGGCAGAGGUUAUUAGGCGUAGACAUAUGGAUUAGAUUAUUAGAAUGCUUGGAGAGUUUUAGUAUUUGAUGAUUUUGCUGGCCCCCAAAGUUGGAUGCCGUAGAGCCAAGCCGGACGGAUUAUCGAUUUAUAUAUCGUGCGAGUUCCAGUUGAGGCGUUUGUCAAAUAUUAACCCUAG